Molecule: long non-coding RNA, 647 nt
Organism: Lycium barbarum (goji berry)
Lineage: Eukaryota; Viridiplantae; Streptophyta; Magnoliopsida; Solanales; Solanaceae
Exons: 2
Source: RefSeq, a predicted model, not a curated record
ACCUUCAUCCAAUACAGCGAGCAAUAUGAAUUUAAUGCACCAUGAAAGAUUGAAUUGAUGACUGAAAUGAAUUCUGAGGAUCCUGUCAAUUUCUGUGUCUGAAUCUAUUUGUACUUAAGUUCGCAGACAUACGCACCUAAUAAUAGUUUCUCUAUUCUAGCGUUGGUGAAUAGAGCUACCCGGUAUCUAUUGCUAUUGCUGGUGGAGGUGGUUGGACCCCGUGGAAUUAGUCGAGUUGCGCUCAAGCUGGCCCGGACACCACAGUUAUCAACAAAAAAACCGUUUCUCUAUCUUUUUGCUCUCAUCUCCAAAUUAAUAUGUAUUAUUUUGACUCUUUUUUUUUUUCACAACUGGUGUGCAGCUACUGCAGUGGAUCUGAAGCACAGUGUGCUGGUUGAUAGAUACCUUCAUCAUCGAACAUACUAUGCUGGAAAUGUAAUGGAAGUCUCAAAAACACAUAUCAAAUUAAAGAAGCUCUCAAACCUAUAGAAAGUGAAUGCCAAAGAUAAUUUGCAAGCUUUCCCAAUUUGUGGUCUUAUCAGCUGCAACUGCUUAAAUCUAGAUUUCACUCAAUUGUAGCAUAUAUCAUACAUAAGUUGGACAUAUGAUUACAAUCUUGUACAUUAAUCUUGCUGUUUUUAUGCCUA